This 85-nucleotide transfer RNA is filed under the name Pseudomonas sp. StFLB209. RNAcentral's name for it is "tRNA-Leu (TAG) (tRNA-Leu-TAG-1-1)". It matches the Rfam family "tRNA". Rfam says of the family: Transfer RNA (tRNA) molecules are approximately 80 nucleotides in length. Their secondary structure includes four short double-helical elements and three loops (D, anti-codon, and T loops). Lineage: Bacteria; Pseudomonadati; Pseudomonadota; Gammaproteobacteria; Pseudomonadales; Pseudomonadaceae. The record is from RNAcentral. RNAcentral also lists the same sequence under 4 other names.
GCGGAAGUGGCGAAAUUGGUAGACGCACUGGAUUUAGGUUCCAGCGCCGCAAGGUGUAAGAGUUCGAGUCUCUUCUUCCGCACCA